AAUCAUAGACUAACUGGUUACUGGCUCUAUUGAUAACCUGUACUUAAUUAAUCAAGGAAUUGAUAAUCAUUUAAAAUUUCCGUUUAGUAGUAAUUUAGCUUUAAUUUCACCGCAACAGGAAAAAAGAGUGAGGGAUUCUUACACUAUGUCGAUGUCCAGAACAUCACCUUUUUUACUACUGUUCUUGACAGUUCCUGAUU
Molecule: long non-coding RNA, 200 nt
Filed under: Carica papaya (papaya)
Lineage: Eukaryota; Viridiplantae; Streptophyta; Magnoliopsida; Brassicales; Caricaceae
Description: long non-coding RNA (CPAP_LNC006356)
Source: RNAcentral